UGGGGAAUAUUGCACAAUGGAGGGAACUCUGAUGCAGCGACGCCGCGUGAACGAAGAAGGCUUUCGAGUCGUAAAGUUCUUUAAUAGGGGAAGAUAAUGACGUUACCAUAAGAAAAAGCCCCGGCAACCUACUUGCCAGCAGCCGCGGUAAUACGUAGGGGGCUAGCGUUGUCCGGAAUCACUGGGCGUAAAGGGUUCGCAGGCGGAAAUGCAAGUCAGGUGUAAAAGGCAGUAGCUUAACUACUGUAAGCAUUUGAAACUGCAUAUCUUGAGAAGAGUAGAGGUAAGUGGAAUUUUUAGUGUAGCGGUGAAAUGCGUAGAUAUUAAAAAGAAUACCGGUGGCGAAGGCGACUUACUGGGCUCAUUCUGACGCUGAGGAACGAAAGCGUGGGUAGCAAACAGG
This 403-nucleotide ribosomal RNA is filed under the name Verrucomicrobiota bacterium. Its description in RNAcentral is "Verrucomicrobia bacterium partial 16S ribosomal RNA". It matches the Rfam family "Bacterial small subunit ribosomal RNA", at positions 355 to 776 of the family's 1533-position model. The record is from RNAcentral. Lineage: Bacteria; Pseudomonadati; Verrucomicrobiota.